AGCCGUAGUGGAGGCAGCGGGAGCGGUGCAGCGCACGCGGUGAGGGCCGGAGGGUUCGGCGCCUCUCGGCGGCCCCGAGGUGAUGCUGGGGAAGCGGGCGUAUAGUGUGGGCGUCGGAGCCGUGGCCGCCCCUCGGGUGAGCCUGAGCCUCGCUUGGGCCUGGCCCUCGGAAAGCUCGGUGCGGAGAGCGGCGGUCCUCUGAGGGCAGUAGCCGGGCCCGGUAAGCACCUCACCCCGAGAGGGGUGCUGGGUGAGGGAGGACGCCGUGUCUGUGUCUGGAGACAGGGAUGCUGCUGGCUUGUUUUUUUUUGAAGAAGCUGUAUGAUCUCUGGAGGCCCCUUCCAACCCCUACAAUUCUGUGAUUUUCGUUCUACUAACUAAUUAGAUGAGCAAAUCUGUCGCUGGAUUGUGUUGGAGAAGAUGAGCUGCUUGUUGAAGAUUUGAAACAAACAACAAAAUCCUCUUACAUGGCAGUCAGCUCCAAAGGGACCAGCUGUAGGAGUGCACGCUCAGCUGAAGCAUUAGAAGUAUCCCUGUGUGCCUGUUCCAUGGCGCUGCUGAGGUCUGAGCCCAUCAGUUCUGCCCAUGGGAGGUUGGGUAGUGCUGGUCACUGUCACAUCAUGCAUUCACAUUUCUGUAUCCCAGGGUAAACUCAUGCACAUGUUACUUCAUAAGGCAAGCCCCCUAACUCUUAGCUAUCCAUGAGACCCAAGUGAAUCUUACUAGUAAUAGACUGCACUGUGUUGAGGGAUCCAAGAUGUUGAUGAUGAAGUCAUUGUAAACUUGUCCGGAAGCUGAUGAGGGAAUGCUUUGGCACACUACUUUGUAUAGGUCCUGUAAGCACCUAGCUGCAGGUUCUGCUACCUAUUAUCAUGGCAGAACUACUUAAUAAUGUUCAUUCCUAAGUGAACAUUAAGCCUUUCAAAACUCUGACUUCUGUCAUUUUGUUCCAGUGUUAUUUUGGCUUUUAACCCAAAUGUCUGAUGUUAGCACAAGUAACUUCUCGUGCAGAACAUCAAAAGCAAACACAAAUAGAACAGGAAUCUUUUUUUUUUUUUUUUUCCUACAGUUAUGUCUUGCACUUCAGUGAACUUGAAAGGAAUCACAUACAGCUGUAACAGAAAUGAUUGCAUCCAAAUUGCCUGGUUUGGCAAAACAGCUUACAAGUCUAGCCAUGAGAAAAGGCAUUUGAAUAGCAUUUGGAUUUUUAUGGGAUUCUAUUUGAUCCAAUGCCUCUUCUGCUUAGAAAAGAACUCUCAAAGAAAAAAACAAAAACAUUUAAAUAUGGGGGGUACACAUGCAGUUUUGAAAGGGAACAGGCUGUGUUUCUUAACAGCGAUGAAACUCUGUUUAUACAGCAGCAGUUCAAUUCACUGUAUUUACUGAGAAAAUACAGUAUUGUGGUUAAGUCUGCCCUUGCAAUGUUUCGACCCUUCCCACUUGCUUUAGAGUUGCAAAGGAAUGCAUACAAUGCUUAUCAACAAUUGCACAGUUCUUCAGAUACACUGACACUAAAAGUACUGUGUAAUACAAAAACUGCAGAAAAGUACAUCCACUGAAAAUGAAGCUAAAGCUCUGCAUUCUAGCAACUUUGUUCCACAAGUUAGAGGCCUACACGUGAAAAGCAAUCCUAGUAAAAAUGAAUGUAGCUGCAUGCAUGUGUGCUGCCAUAUGAGCGUUUUUAAGGGAUCGCUCACCACGCUGCCAUGGUCAUGCAAGAAUAAGUCUCUUAACAGGUUGGAAAUGUGAAGUAAGGAAUAGCAAAACAGCUGCUAUCAAAAAUAAGUUGUACUGUGACCAAAGUUAGUUAAAUAUGACUAGACAUGAAUAAAAAUACUUAAAUAUUUUCUAGCAUUAUUCCUUCACUCAAGUAAUUGCACCAAGAAUCACAGAGUCACAAAUUGUAGGGGCAGGAAGGGACCUCUAGAGAUCAUCGAGUCCAGCCCCUCUGCAAAGCAGGCCCCUUACAGCAGGCUACACAGGUAGGCGUCCAGCCAGGUCUUGAAUAUCUCCAGAGAAGAAGAAUCCACAACCUCCCCUGGGCAUGACAUUAUUCCCUAAAAGACUUGAUACAACACGUAGUCCAGUAAACAGGCUUUAAAUCUUCCAAUCCUAGUUUUGGAAAAGGGAGCCAGUGGUAAGAAGCUUCUGACUUCUGAGCAGUGGAUAAAUUAGGUACUGGUGAUCAGUGCUGAACAGUAGAGUGUUCUUGGUAAAUUACACAUUUGUUUUAGUGUCGUGGAUGUGAGGAAGUCCAAGUGCAAGAGAGCAUUACGAGAAAGCAAGAGUAGGUUAUGGCUUUGAUUCAUAUUAGUACUGCAAAGUACCCAGGCCCAAAGCAGAGAUCAAAUAUGAGCAAGUCCGAGGCCCAGUGCUGCAAAGGUUUGGAUUUCUCAUAUGUGAGACAUCUGUGAAAGAGGUGGCCCAGGCUUUCAGUCUCUUACCUGCAGGCUUCAGUUGCAUCCUCUGCACUGGAUAAGGUAGUCAUGGCUCUCUGCUCAGUGUGUUCAGUUCACUGAAACAGCACAAAACCCAUCAAAAAUUAUUAAUUUCAACUUGUAGCUGUUAGAUUCAGUGCAGAGGUAGCAACAGGAAACCACAGCAGAGAUUUCAGAAGGGAAGCUGAACCAUUCCACUCAGCAGAAACCCAUACUUCAGUCAGGCAAAGCUCCGCCCAUCAACACAGAGUUACGCCUUACUGAAGUAAGUUCUGUACAGUUUUUGUGUACACCCUACACACACACACAAAAGGCUUUUCAACAUCCUGUUCUUAGCAAAUGAAAUACCAUGUGGAUAAGCAUUACUCUUAUGGUAGCCUUCUUGUUCUGGAAAUCAUCUCAGCGAUUUUUUUUUUCCUGAUCAUUUUGCUUAAAAAAAAACCCGAACAUAUAUAUUAUUGUUAUGUUUGUUCAUACUUGUCUAACAUGUCAAAACGAUAUUUUCCUUUAGAACGAAGCAAAAUCAUUUUCUACAUAGAUAAUAGCUGUAAGGUAUUUUAUUUAGCUGAUAUAAGUCCAUCUAAGCCAAUAUACUAUUGCAGCAAUGUUGUAAAGUAAUUCAAACCAAUUCAACUAUUACACAGCUUGUUUAGAAGAAAACAUGUACAGCUAAUGAAAGAAAUUACAUUCAACCAAUUAUUAUACUGCCAUCUAGUGCUUACUGAAUGUACAGCUGUACAGAGAAAUUCUAUUAAUUUAAUCAAAGCAUAAAGGUGUAGACUAUCCCGAAUUGGAAGGGGCCCAACAGGGUCCAAUCCCUGGCUGCACACAGAAUUCAAACCUAAUGUCUGGGAGUGUUGUCUGAAUGCUUCUUGCAUUCCGGCAGCUCAGUGUUGUGACCACUGCUCUGGGGAGCCAGUUCCGUGCCCUCUCUGUUUCAGUAGUUUGUGGUUCCUACCAUUGGCUUAUAGCAAAAGAAGAGUUCAGCUCACGCAUUUGAAUAUAGACAUGCAUAUAGGGAGCUUAACUAAGAGCAGCAGUUGCGAGCAAUUUAAACUGAAAAGUGACAGAAUAUGCUGAAAGAAUCAAUUUGAAUUUUGAUUGUUUCACACACACAUCAGUAAGCCUGGAGGACCAGUACUUGAACAGCCUACUGGAGGGACAUUCAAAUAUAGAUUGAGAAAGAGCAAGUGGGAUAUAAUUCACACACAGCACAAAUUCUUUCCUUGUACAAAGAGGCAAUGAAAUCAAAGACAUUAAAAUAUUAAAAUAUGAUAUUAACAGGUUUUCCACAGACAGCUUGUUUUUGGUGUAAAAAAUGAUGACAAGUGUUUGAAAAUUCAUUGUAAAGAUUAAGAGCUCAGGAUCAGUACAUUUAGUUAGGCAAGAUAUCUAGUAAAACUGAAUUUCUAUUAUAUUAAAUGAAAAGUGAAGGGGAAAUCUAAGUCAAAAUAUAAAGGGGUUUAGUCCAGUAAUUCUGGUACAAGCAGAUGCUCAUAUAAUGAGUAGUUUAUUAUAGUGUUCCUGGAGUACACUUUUCAAUGACAUCAGGAAUAGUUUCUUGCUAUUUCUAUUAUGCCCAAGAAGAACAUUGGGAUCCAGGCUAAUAUACCACAGAAAAAAAUAGGUAUCCUCAGAAUCUAAAAUAUUAAGAAGACUACAGUAUCAGAAUACUAAUAUUUAGCCAUGCAGACAAAAAAAAUUAAGUUAAUACAAUCAUGGAAGCAUAGAAUGGCUUGAGUUGGAAGGGACCUCAAGGAUCAUCAGUCUGCAGCCCCCCUGCUACAGGCAGGGCUGCCAACCUCCAUAUCUAAUACUAGACCAGGAUGCCUAGGGCCCCAUCCAACCUGGCUUUGAUGCAGUUUAUGCAUAGUUUAUGCACAGUUUAUGCAAGCUAGUUCCUGUCAAGUUGAUUUUAUGAUCUUUGAAGAAAAUAUUCGGGAAAUAGAAAAAUAUUUGUGGAAAACAAAACCUGUUUUUUCCUUGCAAUGUCAUUCUCUAUUUUAAUUUUACCCAUUGGUUUCUUAGGACAAAUUAUCUCCGAUAUUCCUCUUUUUCCAGGAAAAUCACCCGGCCAUACUAUUUAAACCCAAUUAUUUUCAGAAAUAACUCUGCAUUUCCCUUAUCAUGUACAGUUCAGGUAUAUGCUUGUCCUACUGUGAUACCUUUAUAAUACAAUAUAAAAAAAAGACGUGAUUUUGAAACAUCAGAAGAAAGUGACAAAAUUCAUAGUUAAAAAUUACGUAGGAUAAACUUUUUGCCCUGCUAAGUAGGUGGUUUCUUAAGCCCCAAAGCAUUUAAAACUCUAAUUCAUCUUUCACUCAAGGCAAACGAUACACUGAGAUAUUCAUUUCUAAAGUUUGAUUUACAUUUCUGUGGAAAAUUUCUACAAAUAAAUGUGAAAUUAAGAGUUGUAUCCGUUAUCGAACCGCUAUUUAUUUGCUCUUGAAUACAGCUGGAAAUUUGGUAGAAUAAAGAAAGCAAGAGUGCUCAUUCUUUUCUAUACAACUCUUUAAUUCACUGUUACAUUAUGUCCUUUGUCUCAUCUGUAUUAAGCAGUCGAAAUUGUCUUUCCAUAGAGGUAAUAACUUUUAUCUACUUAUUUUCAUCAGUCCUAUAUCUGGACUCCUUUAUAAACAUACAGGAUGUUUUGCUAAGUAGUUUGUACUAAUAAAAUAGAAUUAUCCUAUGGCUA
Gallus gallus (chicken) is the source of this 5133-nucleotide long non-coding RNA. RefSeq lists it as uncharacterized. NCBI's taxonomy places the organism in Eukaryota, Metazoa, Chordata, Aves, Galliformes, Phasianidae. The record is from RefSeq and is a predicted model, not a curated record. The transcript is spliced from 2 exons.